Amphiprion ocellaris (clown anemonefish) is the source of this 1016-nucleotide long non-coding RNA. Lineage: Eukaryota; Metazoa; Chordata; Actinopteri; Pomacentridae. The record is from Ensembl.
CUCACAUGGUCUCUGCCGGCAACCAGGCGACCACGGGCACAGUGUUGGCUACCCCUGAUAUAAGGAAACAGGUGGAACGGCGCCCCCUUGACUGUAAUGUGUGUCAAACAAAAGUGUAGCUCACUGGGUGUAGCCAGGUGAAGAUGGUACCAUUGUUUGGUAACAUGCUGAUGGGAAACUGGAUUGUAAAGACUGCAGAAAAAGGAGUUCUGAAGAGAGCCAGUGUAGGCCACCACCAGUAGACCAGCAGACAAGCAGACAGUUAAGCUAACAAUGUCAAACAACCAGCAGAGUUAGCAAAUUAUGUUAAUGCUAUCAACCACUGAGCUUAUGACAAGCUUUUUUUAAGCUAGCCACCAAAAAGUUUCAAAAGUUGAUUCCUGGACUUCUACAGCGACUGAGAAUAGAAGUUGUAGCUAAUUAGAAAUUGGAGCAUGGCCCAGACAGGACAAGUGGAUAGAGCUGAAGCACCUGUGCACAGGAGAAAAUUGGACAUUUAACAUGGAGUCGUGGAAAGCCUCAAGUCCAGAGGGAACUAUGACAUCGUUCUUGGACAUGUUUCCUUCAGCUGGACUUCAACUGCAGACACAUUGACAAGGACAGACAGAUGGAGAGACAGAAGGGCAGAGCGAAGAGGAGAGGAGGGUGCAGCCCGUGACGAGGAGGUAAUAACUCCACACCUCGUCUGCAGGACGAGACAUCAAAAGACCCUCGACUUAAAUGAAUUCUGACAGACUCUGGGUGCAGCCCAUCAAUAUCCUCCGACGCCAUUAAAUCAGCAUCCAAAAACUGAGCUGGAUUCCUGCUCAUAAACCCACGGUCCCAUGACAAAGGAUUUGGACACUAACGAGAAAGCAGGUGACGGAUGCACAAAUCCUGAGACGGGUAGCUAAGUGUUGAGCAGAAUCCCUAAUGAAAGGGAAGCAUUUUAAAUCCCAUGCUGCUCCCAGAGCAGCAUUCAAACAGACAGACAAAAUGAAAAUGUUUGCCAGAGCUGUACUGAUUAAAAGAUUACA